Molecule: ribosomal RNA, 427 nt
Filed under: uncultured bacterium
Lineage: Bacteria
Description: bacterial SSU rRNA
Rfam family: Bacterial small subunit ribosomal RNA
Source: RNAcentral
GUGAGGAAUUUUCCGCAAUGGGCGCAAGCCUGACGGAGCAACGCCGCGUGUGUGAUGAAGUCCCUCGGGAUGUAAAGCACUGUCGGAGGGGAUGAAUAAAUGACAGUACCCUCCAAGAAAGCCCCGGCUAACUACGUGCCAGCAGCCGCGGUAAUACGUAGGGGGCGAGCGUUAUCCGGAUUUACUGGGCGUAAAGCGCGUGUAGGCGGUUGCGUAAGUUAGUUGUGAAAUCCCUCGGCUCAACCGAGGAACUGCAGCUAAUACUGCGUGGCUGGAGUGGCAGAGAGGAAAGUGGAAUUCCCGGUGUAGUAGUGAAAUGCGUAGAUAUCGGGAGGAACACCAGUGGCGAAGGCGACUUUCUGGCUGCUAACUGACGCUGAGACGCGAAAGCUAGGGGAGCGAACGGGAUUAGAAACCCUGGUAGUCC